CAGUCGCCACGGUAAUACGUAGGGUGCAAGCGUUAAUCGGAAUUACUGGGCGUAAAGCGUGCGCAGGCGGUUAUAUAAGACAGAUGUGAAAUCCCCGGGCUCAACCUGGGAACUGCAUUUGUGACUGUAUAGCUAGAGUACGGCAGAGGGGGAUGGAAUUCCGCGUGUAGCAGUGAAAUGCGUAGAUAUGCGGAGGAACACCGAUGGCGAAGGCAAUCCCCUGGGCCUGUACUGACGCUCAUGCACGAAAGCGUGGGGAGCAAACAGGAUUAGAUACCCGAGUAGUCCCUGUCUCUUAUAA
Molecule: ribosomal RNA, 301 nt
Filed under: uncultured bacterium
Lineage: Bacteria
Description: partial 16S ribosomal RNA
Rfam family: Bacterial small subunit ribosomal RNA
Source: RNAcentral